This 1163-nucleotide ribosomal RNA is filed under the name Hymenoscyphus sp. 6 FC-5101. RNAcentral describes it as "LSU rRNA". It matches the Rfam family "Eukaryotic large subunit ribosomal RNA", at positions 74 to 1146 of the family's 3401-position model. The record is from RNAcentral. Lineage: Eukaryota; Fungi; Ascomycota; Leotiomycetes; Helotiales; Helotiaceae.
AUUACCUCAGUAACGGCGAGUGAAGCGGUAACAGCUCAAAUUUGAAAUCUGGGCCUUUUAGGUCCCGAGUUGUAAUUUGUAGAAGAUGCUUUGGGUGUGGUUCCGGUCUAAGUUCCUUGGAACAGGACGUCAUAGAGGGUGAGAAUCCCGUAUGUGACUGGGUACCUUCGCCCGUGUAAAGCUCUUUCGACGAGUCGAGUUGUUUGGGAAUGCAGCUCAAAAUGGGUGGUAUAUUUCAUCUAAAGCUAAAUAUUGGCCAGAGACCGAUAGCGCACAAGUAGAGUGAUCGAAAGAUGAAAAGCACUUUGGAAAGAGAGUUAAACAGUACGUGAAAUUGUUGAAAGGGAAGCGCUUGUAACCAGACUCGCACGUCGUCGAUCAUCCGGGGUUCUCCCCGGUGCACUCGGCGGCAUUCGGGCCAGCAUCGGUUUGGGUGGUUGGAUAAAAGCUGUGGGAAUGUGGCUCCCCUCGGGGAGUGUUAUAGCCCUCGGUACAAUGCAGCCUACCCGGACCGAGGACCGCGCUUCGGCUAGGAUGCUGGCGUAAUGGUUAUAAGCGACCCGUCUUGAAACACGGACCAAGGAGUCUAACAUCUAUGCGAGUGUUUGAGUGUUAAACUCAUACGCGUAAUUAACGUGAACGGAGGUGAGAACCCGUUAGGGUGCAUCAUCGACCGAUCCUGAUGUCUUCGGAUGGAUUUGAGUAAGAGCAUAGCUGUUGGGACCCGAAAGAUGGUGAACUAUGCCUAAAUAGGGUGAAGCCAGAGGAAACUCUGGUGGAGGCUCGCAGCGGUUCUGACGUGCAAAUCGAUCGUCAAAUUUGGGUAUAGGGGCGAAAGACUAAUCGAACCAUUAACUACUAGGUGGUUAAGAUGCCCGGGAAGUCCGGGUGUUAGUGGGGGGCAGAUUCUAUUAGGGUGUGCCGCCUGCGACACUGUCAAAUUGCGGGGACGUCCUGAUAUUGUAUAGCUACCGCAGCUUUAGGCGAAAGCCUAGGCGCGCACCGGGUUAAUGGCCCUGGGGAUGGUAAGAAUGCUAUGCUAGGGGCUACCUGCAGCCAAGUCCUAGACACCACAGCUCGUGGCGUUCACGGAUGCAGUUCACAGACUAAAUGUCAGUGGGCCUUUUGGGGCUUAAGUUAUAGUCGGUCCCGCCUGGUAAUCA